Long non-coding RNA from Physeter macrocephalus (sperm whale), 289 nucleotides. RefSeq lists it as uncharacterized. Lineage: Eukaryota; Metazoa; Chordata; Mammalia; Artiodactyla; Physeteridae. The record is from RefSeq and is a predicted model, not a curated record. The transcript has 4 exons.
GCCCCGUCUCCUGGCCUGUCUGGAAGGCGGCAGCGGCAGUGGCGGCAGUGGAGGCGGCACAGCAGGCACCGGUCCGGGGAGCGGCACCAUGAGUGGAUCACAGAACAAUGACAUGAAAAGACAAUUUCUGCUGGAGCGACUGCUGGAUGCAGUGAAACAGUGCCAGAUCCGCUUUGGAGGGAGAAAGGAGAUCGCCUCGGAUUCCGACAGCAGCUGCCCUCUGUUCGUGUCGACUCUUAGUCUCAGUGCAGCCUCAGGAGGAGCAUCGGUGUAAUUCUUUACAGAUAAG